CACUCCUGCGGGAGGCAGCAGUGGGGAAUAUUGGACAAUGGGCGCAAGCCUGAUCCAGCCAUGCCGCGUGAGUGAUGAAGGCCCUAGGGUUGUAAAGCUCUUUCACCGGUGAAGAUAAUGACGGUAACCGGAGAAGAAGCACCGGCUAACUUCGUGCCAGCAGCCGCGGUAAUACGAAGGGGGCUAGCGUUGUUCGGAUUUACUGGGCGUAAAGCGCACGUAGGCGGACUAUUAAGUCAGGGGUGAAAUCCCGGGGCUCAACCCCGGAACUGCCUUUGAUACUGGUAGUCUUGAGUUCGAGAGAGGUGAGUGGAAUUCCGAGUGUAGAGGUGAAAUUCGUAGAUAUUCGGAGGAACACCAGUGGCGAAGGCGGCUCACUGGCUCGAUACUGACGCUGAGGUGCGAAAGCGUGGGGAGCAAACAGGAUUAGAUACCCUUGUAGUCCCAUG
Molecule: ribosomal RNA, 449 nt
Filed under: uncultured organism
Description: partial 16S ribosomal RNA
Rfam family: Bacterial small subunit ribosomal RNA
Source: RNAcentral